RNAcentral lists this ribosomal RNA (657 nucleotides) under uncultured Actinomycetes bacterium. RNAcentral describes it as "bacterial SSU rRNA". It matches the Rfam family "Bacterial small subunit ribosomal RNA", at positions 232 to 885 of the family's 1533-position model. Lineage: Bacteria; Bacillati; Actinomycetota; Actinomycetes. The record is from RNAcentral.
CGCGGCCUAUCAGCUUGUUGGUGGGGUAAUGGCCUACCAAGGCUUUGACGGGUAGCCGGCCUGAGAGGGUGACCGGCCACACUGGGACUGAGACACGGCCCAGACUCCUACGGGAGGCGGCAGUGGGGAAUAUUGGACAAUGGGCGGAAGCCUGAUCCAGCAACGCCGCGUGAGGGAUGACGGCCUUCGGGUUGUAAACCUCUUUCACCAUUGACGAAGCUGCAUCUUUUUGGGUGUGGUGACGGUAGGUGGGGAAGAAGCACCGGCCAACUACGUGCCAGCAGCCGCGGUAAUACGUAGGGUGCGAGCGUUGUCCGGAAUUAUUGGGCGUAAAGGGCUCGUAGGCGGUUUGUCGCGUCGGGAGUGAAAACCUUGGGCUUAACUCAGGGCUUGCUUUCGAUACGGGCAGACUAGAGGUAUGCAGGGGAGAACGGAAUUCCUGGUGUAGCGGUGAAAUGCGCAGAUAUCAGGAGGAACACCGGUGGCGAAGGCGGUUCUCUGGGCAUGAUCUGACGCUGAGGAGCGAAAGUGUGGGGAGCGAACAGGAUUAGAUACCCUGGUAGUCCACACCGUAAACGUUGGGCGCUAGGUGUGGGAUCCAUUCCACGGGUUCCGUGCCGCAGCUAACGCGUUAAGCGCCCCGCCUGGGGAGUACGG